GUUAGGUAAAUUUUAGUAGAAUGACUGGUUAAGGUAUAGCUGAAAAUAUUACUAUAUAAAUUAGCGGCAAACAAGAAGUAAGCUGGGAUUCGAAAGUAAG
Long non-coding RNA from Gopherus evgoodei (Goodes thornscrub tortoise), 100 nucleotides. RefSeq lists it as uncharacterized. Lineage: Eukaryota; Metazoa; Chordata; Testudines; Testudinidae. The transcript has 2 exons. The record is from RefSeq and is a predicted model, not a curated record.